UACGUAGGGGGCGAGCGUUGUCCGGAAUGAUUGGGCGUAAAGGGCGCGUAGGCGGCCUGUCAAGUCAGUAGUGGAAGUCCAUCUUUCAAGGAUGGAAGUGCUACAGAAACUGAUGGGCUUGAGUGCAGGAGAGGUUAUCGGAAUUCCCGGUGUAGCGGUGAAAUGCGUAGAUAUUGGGAAGAACACCGGUGGCGAAGGCGACUUGCUGGGCAGCAACUGACGCUGAGGCGCGAAAGCCAGGGGAGCAAACGGGAUUAGAUACCCU
This 265-nucleotide ribosomal RNA is filed under the name uncultured prokaryote. RNAcentral describes it as "partial 16S ribosomal RNA". It matches the Rfam family "Bacterial small subunit ribosomal RNA", at positions 524 to 788 of the family's 1533-position model. The record is from RNAcentral.